GUAGGCUGAGAGCCCUGGCAUUGUUCCUUGGGUACAUUAGGACAGGCCACGCUUGGAAAACCUGCAAGUGGCUUCUACCUCACGCCCCAGACGGCUGCUGGAGCUCCGGCCAUAGUUCUACACUGCAGAUAGCAGAAGAGAAGGGCCCAGACAGAUGUACUCCCUCGCUUUAAGGACAUCUUCCAGUCGGAGUCGCCAACAGCCAGGAGGGAAUAUGCCCAGGUUUUAUUGUGACUACUGUGAUACACAUCUCACCCGUGACUCUCCAUCUGUGAGAAAGACGCACUGCAGGGGGAGGAAGCACAGAGAGAAUGUGAGGGAACUACCAGAAGUGGAUGGAGGAGCAGGCCCAGAGCCCGACUGACAAAACAACAGCUGCAUUUCAACAAGGAAAAAGACCUCCUACUCCAUUCUCGGCUCCUCCUCCUGCAGGGGCGAGGAUUCGACCUCCCCCAAUCUUCCGGGUCCUCCUCAUCCUGGUAUGAAGCCAGCACCCCAUCUGUGGGGCCCUCCCAUGAUGCUGAUGAUGUGUCGUCCUCCUCCUGGGAUGAUGCCCGGGGGAUGGGAGGUCACAUGCCAGUGAUGCCCGGGCCCCCAAUGAUGAGACCUCCUGCUUGUCCCAUGAUGGUGCCCACUGGUCCUGGAAUGACUCGACCAGACAGAUAAGGGUAGAGGGGAGUUUUCUUUCUUUCUUUCUUUCUUUUUAUUUCAGCUUUUGGCCGGGACUGGAUUUGAACCCGCCACCUCUGGCAUAUGGGGCCUGCACCUACUCCU
Molecule: long non-coding RNA, 774 nt
Organism: Nycticebus coucang (slow loris)
Lineage: Eukaryota; Metazoa; Chordata; Mammalia; Primates; Lorisidae
Exons: 3
Source: RefSeq, a predicted model, not a curated record